GUGUCAGCCGCCGCGGUAAUACAGAGGGUGCAAGCGUUGUCCGGAAUCACUGGGCGUAAAGGGCGCGUAGGCGGCCCGAUAAGUAGGGGGUGAAAUCUUGCGGCUCAACCGCAAGGCUGCCUUCUAGACUGUCGGGCUUGAGCACAGUAGAGGCAGGUGGAAUUCCCGGUGUAGCGGUGGAAUGCGUAGAGAUCGGGAAGAACAUCGGUGGCGAAGGCGGCCUGCUGGGCUGUUGCUGACGCUGAGGCGCGACAGCGUGGGGAGCAAACAGGAUUAGAAACCCCCGUAGUCC
This 292-nucleotide ribosomal RNA is filed under the name uncultured bacterium. RNAcentral describes it as "partial 16S ribosomal RNA". It matches the Rfam family "Bacterial small subunit ribosomal RNA", at positions 505 to 796 of the family's 1533-position model. The record is from RNAcentral.